Molecule: ribosomal RNA, 531 nt
Filed under: uncultured bacterium
Lineage: Bacteria
Description: bacterial SSU rRNA
Rfam family: Bacterial small subunit ribosomal RNA
Source: RNAcentral
GGCGGCGAGUGGCGAACGGGUGAGUAAUAUAUCGGAACGUACCCAAGAGUGGGGGAUAACGUAGCGAAAGUUACGCUAAUACCGCAUACGAUCUAAGGAUGAAAGCAGGGGAUCGCAAGACCUUGUGCUCCUGGAGCGGCCGAUAUCUGAUUAGCUAGUUGGUAGGGUAAAGGCCUACCAAGGCUACGAUCAGUAGCUGGUCUGAGAGGACGACCAGCCACACUGGUACUGAGACACGGACCAGACUCCUACGGGAGGCAGCAGUGAGGAAUAUUGGACAAUGGGCGCAAGCCUGAUCCAGCCAUGCCGCGUGCAGGAUGACGGUCCUAUGGAUUGUAAACUGCUUUUGUACAGGAAGAAACCCUUUCACGUGUGGAAGAUUGACGGUACUGUAAGAAUAAGGAUCGGCUAACUCCGUGCCAGCAGCCGCGGUAAUACGGAGGAUCCAAGCGUUAUCCGGAAUCAUUGGGUUUAAAGGGUCCGUAGGCGGUCAGAUAAGUCAGUGGUGAAAGCCCAUCGCUCAACGGUGGA